AUGGCAAGAUUUCAUCCUUUUUUUAUGGCUGAAUAAAACGCAGCAGAUUUGACAGAGAAUCUUGAGAGCAGCAAGAGAAACACAACUCCUCAUCAUGUACCCAGAGCCACAAUAAGAUCAACAGCUGAUUUGUCAUUAGAAACUAUGGAGGCCAGAAGGCAGAAGGUUGAUACAGUCAAAGUGCUCAAAGAAAAGUCUCAACCAAGAAUGCUAUAUCCAACAAAACUAUCCUUCAAAAAUGAAGGCAAAAUUGAGACAUUCACAGAUGAAAACUAAGAGAAUUUGCUGCUAGCCAGCCUGCCAUACAAGAAGUAGUAAAGUGAACCCUUCAGGAUGAAGUGAAAGGACACAGUAACUUGAAUCCACAUGAAAAAAUACAGAGCACUGGUAAACAUAAUUAUAUAGGUAAAUAUAAAAGAUAGUAUAAGUGUAUUUUUGUUUCUAACUCUUUUUUUCCUCUUUUUUUCUCCAUAAAUUUUUUAAAUUGAGGUAUAGUUGAUUUACAAUAUUAUAUAAAUUUCAGGUUACAACAUAGUGAUUCACAAUUUUUCAAGGUUAUACUCCAUUUCUAGUUAUUAUAAAAUAUUGGCUAUAUUCUCUGUGCUGUACAAUAUAUCCUUGGAGUUUAUUUUAUACAUAGUAGUUUGUACCUCUUAAUCCCCUGCCCCCAUCUGGUCCCUCCCCCUUCCCUCUCCCCACUGUAACCACUAGUUUGUUCUCCAUAUCUGUGAGUCUCUUUUUCGUAUAUUCACUAGUUUGUUUUAUAUUUUAGGUUCCACAUAUAAGUGAUAUCAUACAGUAUUUGUCUUUGACUUAUUUCACUGAGCAUAAUACCCUCCAAGUCCAUCCGUGUUGUUGCAAAUGGCACAAUUUCAUUCUUUUUUAUGGCUGAGUAGUAUUCCAUUUAUUCUUUUUUAUUCAUUCACCUGUUUAUGGACACUUACAUUGCUUCCAUAUCUUGGCUAUUGUAAACACUGUUGCUAUGAAUAUUGCAGUGCAUAUAUCUUUUCAAAUUAAUGUUCAUUUUCUUCAGAUACAUACCCAGGAGUAGAAUUGCUAGAUCAUCUGGUAGUUCUAGUUUUAGUUUUUUGAGGAACCUCCAUACUGUUGUCCAUAGUGGCUAAACCAAUUUACAUUCCCACCAACUGUGCACAAGGGUUCCCUUUUCUCCACAACCUUGCCAACAUUUGUUAUUUGUGGUCUUCAGUAAUUCUUAAGAUUAUGAAGGGAUCCAGAAAAAUUCUUUAUCAGAUGAGUUGGAGUUCAGAAAAUGUGGUCACAGAACUCUAGACCAGAGGGACCCCACCCUGUGGCCGGAGUCUGCUCUCACCCUGUCCCCAGGGUGGCUAGCUCACCACCCCGUCCCUGGUCUUUUUUCCUCUUAUCUGAUUUAAAAGACAACUGUACAGUGCAAUCAUAAAUUGGUGUUGAUGUGUACACACUAUAUAAAAAUGUAAUUUGCAUUAAAGUAUGUCUUAGUCUGUUCUGGCUGCUAUAGCAAAUUGCCACCUACUGUUUAAGACUGGGUGGCUUAAACAACAAAUCUUUGUUUCUCAUAGUUCUGAGACUAGAAGUCCAAGAACAGGGUGCCAGCAUGAGCAAGUUCUUGGUAAAGGCCAUCAUCCCAGCUUAUAGACAGCCCUCUUCUCAUCGUAUCCUCACAUAGCAGAGAAAGAGAAAGCAAACUCUCUUCAUGUUUCUUCUUAUAAGGGCAUGAAUUUCAUUCCUGAAGACUUUGCCUUCAUGACCUAAUUGCAUCCUAAAGACCCAUCUUCUCAUACCAUUACACUCUGUGGGGGUGAGGUAGGAUUUCAACAUAUGAAUUGGGGGAGGGGACACAACAUAUAGGUAUGUUUGGCACAUACGUAAGCCAUACAGAACCAUGUCUGGCACACAGUAUGUGUAUACUAAAGUUGGAUAUUGUUAUGAUUAUUCUUAUUAUAUAUGGCAAAUUUCUACCUGUUUAAUCAAAAAAAGGGGAAAGACUCAAAUUACUAAAAUCAGGAAACAAAGAGGGCACAUUACUACCAGCCUUACACAUUACUACCAACCUUACAGAAAUAAAAGGAUUAUGAAAGUGUACUGUGAAUAACUAUAUGUCAACAAAUUAGGUAAUUUAGAUGAAACUGACAAAGUCCUAGAAAGACACAAACUACUGCAACUGACUCAAGAAGAAAUAGUAAAUCUGAAUAGAUAUAUAACAAGUAAAGAGAUUGAAUUAAUAAUCAGAAAGCUAUAAAGAAAAGCCCGGGGCCAGAUGGCUUCACUGGUUAAUUCCAUCAAAUGUUUAAAGAAAAAAUUGCACCAAUCCUUUACAAACUGCUCUAAAAAAAUACAAGAGGAGGAAACACUGCCAAACUUAUUCCAUGCGGCCAAUAUUACCCUGUAGUAAAACCAGGCAACGGCAUUACAAGGAAAAAAACUACAGAGCCAAUAAUUAAUGUUCACAAAUUGGAAGAUUUAGUAUUACUCAAGAUGGCCGUACUCCCCAAUUUGAUCUAUAGGUUCAACACAGUCCUUAUCAAAAUCCCAGCUGACUUUUUUUGCAGAAAUAUACAAACUGAUCCUAAAAUUCAUAUGGAAAUACAGGGGACCCAGAAUAGCCAAAACAAUCUUGAGAAAGAAGAGCAAAGUUGGAAGAAUCACACUUCCCAAUUUCAAAACUUACUACAAAGCUACAGUAAUCAAAACUGGUAUUGGCAUAAGGAUAGACAUCCAGAUAAAUGAAUUUAAAUUGAGAGUCCAAAAAUUUAUGGUCAAUUUGACUUUUUUUUUAAUUGAAGUAUAGUUGAUUUACAAUGUUGUAUUAGUUUCAGGUAUAUAGCAAAGUGAUUCAGUUAUACAUUUAUGUAUAUAUCUAUUCUUUUUCAGAUUCUUUUCCAUUAUAGGUUAUUAUAAGAUAUUGGA
Physeter macrocephalus (sperm whale) is the source of this 2907-nucleotide long non-coding RNA. RefSeq lists it as uncharacterized. The record is from RefSeq and is a predicted model, not a curated record. NCBI's taxonomy places the organism in Eukaryota, Metazoa, Chordata, Mammalia, Artiodactyla, Physeteridae. The transcript has 2 exons.